This 348-nucleotide non-coding RNA is filed under the name Pongo abelii (Sumatran orangutan). Lineage: Eukaryota; Metazoa; Chordata; Mammalia; Primates; Hominidae. The record is from RNAcentral.
GGGAAACCGUCCAGAGCAACCGAGAACAGCAGCGCCACCUCCUGUUAAUUUGCUGCUUACUGAAGAGACAAGAUCAGAAACUUGAAGUUAGAGACAAAAAAAUAAUGGAACAUAGGAAACAAAGCUUGUUUCCUAUGCAACGCCCAGCCUCCUUCUCCAAUUUCCUGUUCACUAGUUUGGGGCAAACUCAGCACCCGCAGAGCCCAAUCCCUGCUGCCCCAACCUAAAGGACAGGACCAAGGCUCCCUGCCCAGGUGGGCCAGAGUUAGUUCUUAUGCUCCCAAACAUGGGACUCUGUGCUCACAGGUAACCCCAAACAUCAGAGCAAUAAAAACCAGGGCAAUUCCA